CUGUAUAUACCCUGUAGAUCCGAAUUUGUGUAAGAAAUUUUGUGGUCACAAAUUCGUAUCUAGGGGAAUAUGUAGU
Non-coding RNA from Myotis lucifugus (little brown bat), 76 nucleotides. NCBI's taxonomy places the organism in Eukaryota, Metazoa, Chordata, Mammalia, Chiroptera, Vespertilionidae. The record is from Rfam.